Molecule: ribosomal RNA, 805 nt
Filed under: uncultured bacterium
Lineage: Bacteria
Description: bacterial SSU rRNA
Rfam family: Bacterial small subunit ribosomal RNA
Source: RNAcentral
AGAGUUUGAUCCUGGCUCAGAAUGAACGCUGGCGGCGUGCCUAACACAUGCAAGUCGUACGAGAAAGGGGCUUCGGCCCUGAGUAGAGUGGCGCACGGGUGAGUAACGCGUGGGUAAUCUACCCUUGGAUUUGGGAUAACUCUGCGAAAGUGGAGCUAAUACCGGAUAGUCUGGCUUUUAAUAGAAGUCGGUAAAGGAUGCCUCUGCAUAUGCAUUCGUCCGAGGAUGAGCCCGCGUCUCAUUAGCUAGUUGGUAGGGUAAUGGCCUACCAAGGCAACGAUGAGUAGCUGGUCUGAGAGGAUGAUCAGCCACACUGGAACUGAAACACGGUCCAGACUCCUACGGGAGGCAGCAGUGGGGAAUAUUGCGCAAUGGGCGAAAGCCUGACGCAGCAACGCCGUGUGAGGGAUGAAGGCUUUCGGGUCGUAAACCUCUGUCGGAAGGGAAGAACGGGCAUUGGUCUAAUAGGCCUUUGUUUUGACGGUACCUUUAGAGGAAGCACCGGCUAACUCCGUGCCAGCAGCCGCGGUAAUACGGAGGGUGCAAGCGUUAUUCGGAAUUACUGGGCGUAAAGCGCACGUAGGCCGCUUUGUAAGUCAGGGGUGAAAUCCCACGGCUCAACCGUGGAACUGCCUUUGAAACUGCAGAGCUUGAAUCCUGGAGAGGGUGGCGGAAUUCCUGGUGUAGGAGUGAAAUCCGUAGAUAUCAGGAGGAACACCGGUGGCGAAGGCGGCCACCUGGACAGGCAUUGACGCUGAGGUGCGAAAGUGUGGGGAGCAAACAGGAUUAGAUACCCUGGUAGUCG